Long non-coding RNA from Gambusia affinis (western mosquitofish), 2478 nucleotides. RefSeq lists it as uncharacterized. The record is from RefSeq and is a predicted model, not a curated record. The transcript is spliced from 3 exons. Lineage: Eukaryota; Metazoa; Chordata; Actinopteri; Cyprinodontiformes; Poeciliidae.
UGAAACACACACUGCCCCUAUUUAAACUGUCACAUUAUUAGCAUUCAUGAGAGUGACACAUUUCCUCACGUUUUUUGAUUUACUCAGCUCCACUGAGUCAGUGUAAAGACAUUAAAGGUUCAGAAGUUUUGAAGUGAGGUUUUGUUAAAAGAUUAUAAGGAACAACCUGCAAGGAAAAACUCUUGUUCCGUCUUUAUUUAUUUAAGUUGUUGUGAGUAUAGCUCAAAGUUUCUCUGAAAAUGAUCAAAUGAGGCGGAUGUUAGAGGAAAAAUGAUAAUGUGUAUGUGCAAAGCAGACAUCUAUGUAGUUGCGUUGUAAGUAUCGGCAAAUAUGCAGUCAAUAUGCACCACAAACUGUCUUUUUUUCUCUUCUUGGGGAGGACACAAUGCUUGUUUGUAAAUGGACCAUGGGUGCCAAAGCAACAGGAAAUAUCAAUUUUCUUGUGGACAGGUAGUUGCGCUGAAGUUAGCAUCAAAGUAGGCAAGUAUUAAAAGGAAAAAUAUCAUGACAGUUUAACGUCACACAGGAAGGGAUCAGGAAUUAAAUAAUCAGCCUCUUUUUUUUAUGUGGGUCAAAUCUGUGGUUGCGUUACUACGGGAACAGGAUAAUCACUGUAGAUGUUUAACUGUGGUUAUCAGGUCUCAUUAUGUGCAGCAGAUAUGCCCAACCGUUUUUAUGAGCGGUCCUUCUCAAAGUUCAGUCUGCAUGAACACCGACCGGCGACCGUCAUUUUAUUAAACUGGCACAUUCACAUUUAAUCUUCUAAUUAUUUAACGACUGAAGUGAAAACUUUCUGCCCACGUCCGCUGUGCAUUGUUGAUUCGGCAGCGAUGGAGUUCCUACUAACCAUACGAGAAUAAACGGAGCAUUAGUCGUUAUGCGGUAGCGGGUUUCCCACUUUAGCAGAAAGAUUCAGGAGCCAUUUUCCAGGAGAGGUGGCUGAAAUUCAGGUGAAAGUUGGUAACACGGCGUUUAUGUGGCUUCUAACAACCUGGGACUGCAGAAGCCAAACCACACCCAGUUAAGUCAAGCUGGUAAAUGUUAGUAAAUGGGAGGAGCAGGGCCUCACCCAUAAUCUGCCCUGUAGCUCAGGUUAAAGAAACAACUCCAUCCAGUGUAAAUCAGUGCUGUCAUCAUAGCAACAUGCUCACUGUAAAACAUGGAUCAAUGCACAAACACGGAUUUGUGCAUUAACUUGCAGGUUUUAAUUGCGCAUGUCUGUUUUCUUAUCUGGUUGUUCAGGAUUAGAGAGACAUCAAUUACUUUAUUAAUCAGAGCAGCUCAGUUUUAACCUGUGUUUAAGCUGAUUUUUUUAUUAUUAUUUUUUUUAACUUUUUAUUUUUCCCUACAUAUCAAAUAACAUCCCUCCAUUGUGAAGGAGGGAACUAGGGAACCAGUAGUUAAUAGGGAAAAUGAUAAACUUCCUGCUUAUACAUGCUGAAAUCUCUAAAAUAAAGCUGAGCGCUGGCGAAACACUUCCUAUUGUGCGUCUAAGGCAUUUCACACUGUGUGCCAGUGGUUGUUAUGGAGAUGCUCGUUGCCAUGCAUGCUGCUGAGUAAGAGGGAGUGGCUGAGAGGCUGGACUGGAAAGAUGAGUCGGCUGUGGAGGAAUGCGUCAUUUAGCUGAGAAAUCCCUCGGUUUGUUGAUUCCCUGGUAGCAGGCGGACAUUUACUCUGCACCAACCACAGAAAUGUUCGGAUUUAGCUGCAGGAACUCUUAUAUUUUAGUGAUGGUAUUUAAAGUUUGUCAAAUGUAGAUUGUUGUACAAGCGUUACUGGUCUGGCCAUUUGGCUCCCUCUGCAGUCGAGCUUUUCCUUGUUCCAGUGAACAACUUCCAGCAUCGAUAGAAAGUAAAUCAGCGGCUACAUUCCUGGAGAACUCUGUGUGGAGUCGGUUAGUAAACCUACGUUUCUUAGAGCAUUCCCGUCAUGAAGCAACCAGACCAUAACAUUUACAUUUACCUUUUUGUGACGCAGUGCUCAAUCCAAGUUGAACUUUACUCUCUGAUUAAACUGCGUUGAGUUUGAUAGGAGUGGGAAUUCAGAGUGGAGUCUCUCCGGGUUGUGAAAGACGCUUUAAACGAUGAAUCAUCCGUUCAUCUCCUGCUGUCGGCACCAAUAAUCAGUCAUGCUCAGACUCUGCCGAGGUGUUUGAGGAUUUACCCUGGGCUGUCCUGAGUAGGUGCAACUUACUGCACUUCUCCAUCUCUUAUUUCAAACACAGAGCCUUGAUGCAGACGGAGGAUUCGGGCCGUACUAAGAAACAAAUUAUAAACUCGCAUGAGGAUAAAGUCGUAACACUUCAAUGGCGAAAAGUCAUAAUUCCUUUUUCUUAGCAUGGCCCUAGUACUCCGUCAUAAGGAAAUCUGAAUAAAGUUUAAAAAUCUUUAACUUCAUGUGAGCCUCAUGACAGUGGCGUGUCACUGAUUUGACUGACGAAACGGAUCCAACUGGAGAUCGGUCAUGUCCAGCUUGACA